GGGGCUGACAAUGGAAAAUUAUGUCCUCUUUAUCCACAGAACAGCUAUGACAUAGGUAACAGCAAUGCAAGCUUCUCCACUCUGCCUAGCACUGCCAAUCCUCCAGGCAUAGGCACUGACUCUGUGGGUGCCCUGGGUCUGGAACUCCCAUGGGGAAAAAAUGGUGGGUGCUGAGCCUCCUAUCAACUUCCCCU
Molecule: small RNA, 194 nt
Filed under: Gopherus agassizii (Agassiz's desert tortoise)
Lineage: Eukaryota; Metazoa; Chordata; Testudines; Testudinidae
Description: TUC338 (ENSGAGG00000019501.1)
Source: RNAcentral